CGCUUUCACUCCUACGGGAGGCAGCAGUGGGGAAUAUUGCACAAUGGGCGCAAGCCUGAUGCAGCCAUGCCGCGUGUGUGAAGAAGGCCUUCGGGUUGUAAAGCACUUUCAGUCGUGAGGAAGGUAGUGUAGUUAAUAGCUGCAUUAUUUGACGUUUAGCGACAGAAGAAGCACCGGCUAACUCCGUGCCAGCAGCCGCGGUAAUACGGAGGGUGCGAGCGUUAAUCGGAAUUACUGGGCGUAAAGCGCAUGCAGGUGGUUUGUUAAGUCAGAUGUGAAAGCCCGGGGCUCAACCUCGGAAUUGCAUUUGAAACUGGCAGACUAGAGUACUGUAGAGGGGGUAGAAUUUCAGGUGUAGCGGUGAAAUGCGUAGAGAUCUGAAGGAAUACCGGUGGCGAAGGCGGCCCCCUGGACAGAUACUGACACUCAGAUGCGAAAGCGUGGGGAGCAAACAGGAUUAGAUACCCUGGUAG
Molecule: ribosomal RNA, 473 nt
Filed under: uncultured bacterium
Lineage: Bacteria
Description: bacterial SSU rRNA
Rfam family: Bacterial small subunit ribosomal RNA
Source: RNAcentral